This 1084-nucleotide long non-coding RNA is filed under the name Prunus persica (peach). RNAcentral's name for it is "long non-coding RNA (PPER_LNC004307)". The record is from RNAcentral. Lineage: Eukaryota; Viridiplantae; Streptophyta; Magnoliopsida; Rosales; Rosaceae.
AUUUUUUUAAUGAAAGAGCAACUUUAUUAAAUCAUUUUCAAUAAUAAAACUAAGACAUAAACAAAACAUCCAAAAUUUGAACCCCACCUGAACAAUAAAACUAACAUGGUAAAAAGACAAAAGCCGCACUACAUAGCACACAUCACUAUGAUUGAGCAUGAUAUCAAGUAGAGUCCACAAACCAAAACAACCAAAACAACCAAAACCCUAUAAAACUACCCAUAAGCCUAAAUGAAUACUACAACCACCACUUGAAGAAGCGCCGCUGUUAAACCCACUGCAUCUAGCUUUCAAGCAAUUGUAGAACAUGUGAUGGAUCUAAGGAAAACAAGUUUUCCAGCAAUGCCAAUAACAUCAAACAAAUAUGCUAAUCGAACAAACAUGACAAAAAAAAGAAAAGAGGGUAGAUUGCAACAAAUUCUUUCAAAUGCGAGGUAGAACUAGAAAAAUUAGAAGUUUUAGAGAUAGAAUUUUUGGGAGAAGGAUUUGAUUGAGGUAAAAAAGGUGAUGGGGAACUUCAAUAUGAGUAUGAUUCAAAAGAAAUAUGAGGUAACAUGAAUUUUGACAACCAAUCACAAGGUGACAUGUGGAUAUGAGAAUAUUCUUUAGGUCAAACAAUUGUGCUAAUUAAAUCUGAUCUAAUUAGUCAAUUAUCCUUGAUUUAUAAUAGGAAUAUCUCCCUAAACCCUAGCGAAGAAUGAGACUCUAUAUAAAGAUGGCAUCUUGUUAACUCGCAAUUGUACAGGCUAGAAGUUCGAGUGUUGUAUCCAAAAAGAGCGGUGUAAAGAAAAUAACAUAGCUGAAAAAGAACAAUUGAGAUAGAAAAGUAGAUUUAAACAAGAUUUGAUUUAAAGAAAAUUCAAUUGAUUAAAACACUAAGGCAUUGGGGUUCCACUUUUAACAAAAGCAUGCAACUCUUAAUAAUUUGAUCUAAAAAAUAUUUUCCAUUGUAGUUGUUCAAAAUAAUUAAAGCUCUUUUUAAUUUCCUUUAGAAUUAUUCUAAGCAUAACUUGUACCAUUGGCAACAAACUAUCAAAAAAUAAUAUUCGUCAAAAUUCUAUUAAUCUUAGUAAUUUUCUCCUAU